Molecule: long non-coding RNA, 2248 nt
Organism: Nyctereutes procyonoides (raccoon dog)
Lineage: Eukaryota; Metazoa; Chordata; Mammalia; Carnivora; Canidae
Exons: 2
Source: RefSeq, a predicted model, not a curated record
UCUUCUCCUCCUCCUCUCCUUCCUCCUCCUCUUUCCCCACCUCCUCCCCCUCUGCCACCGCCUCCUCCUUCACCACCACCACUCCCUCCGGGGCACCCCGGUCCCCGCAGAGUCCCCGGCCCGCGCCGCCUCCGCCGCGGCCCCCUGGAUCCCGAGCCGGUGGGACGCACCGACGGACGGACGGACGGACGGACCCGCAGGCCCCUGCGCUAGCUCUCGGCCGCCGCUGCCCCCCGCGGCCCCGCGUCGGGGAAGCGGGGAUGGCCCCCGGAGCCCCGCGAGGUGGUUGCAGUCUCCAGGCCUGGCUGCAUGGCGAGGCGUCUGAACACGCAGGGGAUGCCAAGCCUUCCAGAUGAAGAGUGGAUCACAGUGCCAACCAUGUGGACGUGGAUCUCCCCCAGAUGGGCUUCAGCACAUCUGGCCCAUCUGUAGCAUUUUCUCCAUCCAGGUGAUCCAUCUUGCCUCUGCCCAGCGUGGUGGAAAACUUGAUUCUCAUUGUGUAAGCAUGAGAGUUCCAUAUUUCUGCCCCUUGCUCUGAGCCCCGCUGACUCUGAUUCAAGGGGCAGCUGCUCAGGUGUGCUGGGAACAAGAUAGGGUCUAUUUCGUUGCUCAUUUGCUGCGGGGCAUCUUGCAUGAGAGACAGUCCACUUCUAUCACUGAUGGCACCUGUAUAGAUGCUGUGCUACGCAUCCAUUACAAGGUUCUAUCUUAUCCAGUCUUCUCAGAAAUUCAUGGAAGUAUCAGUCUAUUCCCACUCUCCAGAUGUGAAAACUGAGACUUCGAAAGAAAGGGAUUCACCCCCAAGAUCUCUCUCUCUCUCUCUCUCUCUCUCUCUCUCUCUCUCUCUCUCACACACACACACACACACACACACACACACACACACACAGCUAGUAAAUGAAGGGGUUUGGAUUCUAACCCAGGGCUGUGUGAUUCCAACAACUUGUCCUCCUCCCCCUAGCCCCUGCAUCCUAACAUAAUGCUCCUCUUCUCCCCAGUGAGGAAAUCAGGAUAACACUUUGUGAGAAAAGGGAUAACACUUUGCUCUGAGUCCCCCAGUAAGUCAAUUAUCACAAAAUACAGAUCCUAGAUCCCACAUUCUCUCCGGAGCAUUUAUUCCAGAUCUGGAACAGACAAGAGAGAUGGCAUAUGGGUAGCAUAUAUGGCUUGCAGACAGCCUGCUCACACCUUGCUUCAGCCACCUUCCCACAUGCCCAGCAAGGUGGAUACUGCUGUUACUAGCCAGUUAGAGAGGCUCAGCAAAGUUGAACAACGUGUUCACUGCCCAGGCAGUUCACGCAGAGCCCUGGCACUGGCCCGGGCCAGCCCAUUCCAAGCCUCCCAGCUCCGCACACCACAUAUGGGACCAUUUAACCAACAGAGUCAGGCCUUGCAUUCUGUUGUGAAAUUGCUAGGUUGUUUUCUCUUUAAGUGUUCCUGCAAAUAUUAUUUGGGGGAUUCAAAACUUUCUCUUCAUUUAUGCCUCUCUUGUACUCAUUCCUUCUCCAUGUGUGUACCCGGCUGUGUCACAGAGCCAUCAAAGAAACAAAACAGGGAAUUGCUUCUUGUCUGUGUUCAAUGAUAUUCAGAGACGACCGUGUAUAGAUUUUACCUACACUUAUAUAUUUUGCUCUAUAAUCAUUUGCCCUAUGCUCAUCACUAAAGCUCAGAUGUAUCAUAAAAAUUCAAGUUUACGUAUGUGUGUAUUUUUCAUGAUUUUAAUGGAAUUUUUAAACCUUGCUUUAGACAGUGUUUCCUAUUUGCUAAGAUCCAAAGGGAAGAGUUUACAGGAGGAAUCCUUUGGUCAAAUGAUUCCGUAUCCAAAAGCAUAACCAAGAAUCCAUACAGGAAAUUACUUGGGAGGUCUCUAACCUGGAGGGGAUGUACCAAGUACCCUGCCACCAGGAAGAGACUUGCCAGGGAAUGGCAUAAGCCUUCAGACAGCCAGGGUUCCAUCUCCAUGCCCAUCUGAACCUCACUUCUGCACUUCUCCAGGAGCCAUGUCCUUCCAUUCCAUGGAAAAGCUUUGUCUCAUUAUUUAUUAUAAAAUUAUAUGAAUAUUUUCAUACAAGACCAGAAUGUGUGAAGAAGUAAAUAACAGCACUUGAAUUUCCCCUAGCCAGAGGCCACCACUGUCAAACAUUUGGGGAUGUUAACUUUUGACACCUUGAAAAAGAAAAGAAAUUUGAUUAUGUCUACACAUUUUCAUUAUUGCUGUUCCAGUAAAUAAAGAAAGAAAAGAAACAUG